This 253-nucleotide ribosomal RNA is filed under the name uncultured bacterium. RNAcentral's name for it is "partial 16S ribosomal RNA". It matches the Rfam family "Bacterial small subunit ribosomal RNA", at positions 524 to 776 of the family's 1533-position model. The record is from RNAcentral.
UACGAAGGGGGCUAGCGUUGCUCGGAAUCACUGGGCGUAAAGCGCACGUAGGCGGCUUUUUAAGUCAGGGGUGAAAUCCUGGAGCUCAACUCCAGAACUGCCUUUGAUACUGAGAGGCUUGAGUCCGGGAGAGGUGAGUGGAACUGCGAGUGUAGAGGUGAAAUUCGUAGAUAUUCGCAAGAACACCAGCGGCGAAGGCGGCCCUCUGGGCCUAUCCUGACGCUGAGACGCGAAGGCCAGGGUAGCGAACGGG